This 767-nucleotide long non-coding RNA is filed under the name Prunus persica (peach). RNAcentral's name for it is "long non-coding RNA (PPER_LNC000557)". Lineage: Eukaryota; Viridiplantae; Streptophyta; Magnoliopsida; Rosales; Rosaceae. The record is from RNAcentral.
AAUGGUAUUACCAAUGGUUUUUUGUAUGAAAUGGUAUUAACAAUGUCUUUUUGUAUGAAAUGGUAUUACCAAUGUAUUUUUUUGGGUAUGAAAUGGUAUUAACAAUGUCUUUUGUAUGAAAUGGUAUUAACAAUGUAUUUUUUUGGGUAUGACAUGGUAUUAACAAUGUCUUUUUGUAUGAAAUGGUAUUAACAAUAUAUUUUUUUGGGUAUGAAAUGGUAUUAACAAUGUAUUUUGUUGGGUAUGAAAUGGUAUUAAAAAUAUUUUUUAUAUGAAUUGGUAUUAACAAUGUUUUUCUACGAAAUGGUAUUAACAAUGUUUUUUUUAUAAAAUAGUAUUAACAGUGUUUUCUAUAACAUGGUAUUAACAAUGUACUUCUAUGACAUGUUUUGCAGAGGUUUGAUGGAGAAGGAAGGGUCGUGGGGACAUGCCCUUGGUUUUCGUGUUUUUAUUUUAUUUUAUAUUUAUAGUUAAGUUUGGGUUUUUAAAAAAAAUAUAGGCUGGGCUUGUUAUGGGUUUUUUUUGUGUUUUUUGUAUUGGGCUUCUUUUAAGUUAGUUAGUGGCAGUCAUGUAAUUUAUAGGAAAUUCAACACUCAUUUUGUAUGUAGUAAAUGAUUUUUGGGUAUGUUUCUAAAGUGCAUUUCAUGUAGGGUUUUUUUAUAAUUUCAGCUCCUAUUUUGGGUAUAUUACUAAAGCUCCCUUGGUUUUUUUCCCUUCAGACAUUGUUCAUUUUUAUAACUUUGUUCCACCCUAAUAAUCACAGAGCU